CACAUCACGAAAGUGGAUUGUACUAGAAGUCUGCAGGCUGACCCGCAAGGGAGGCAGCGGCCCAAGGUAUGAUCCAUGAUUGGGGUG
Molecule: ribosomal RNA, 87 nt
Filed under: uncultured bacterium
Lineage: Bacteria
Description: partial 16S ribosomal RNA
Source: RNAcentral